UAUAUUCUAGUAUAAGAUGUAUAAAAAUUUUUGAAAUUUUAGGUGAAAAUUAAAAUUUUUCGAAUAUAU
Molecule: transfer RNA, 69 nt
Filed under: Orthocis pygmaeus
Lineage: Eukaryota; Metazoa; Arthropoda; Insecta; Coleoptera; Ciidae
Description: tRNA-Gln
Source: RNAcentral